This 319-nucleotide long non-coding RNA is filed under the name Olea europaea (common olive). RNAcentral describes it as "long non-coding RNA (OEUR_LNC014559)". The record is from RNAcentral. Lineage: Eukaryota; Viridiplantae; Streptophyta; Magnoliopsida; Lamiales; Oleaceae.
UUCAUUUGCUUAGGUUCGAGGCUCUUAUGAUCAUUUGCUUAAGUCCGAGGAGUUAUGUUCAUUUGCUUAAGUCCGAAGCUCCAACAGUUCAUCUCCUUAAGUUAUGUUCAUUUACUUCAGUCCGAGGCUUAUACAGUUGACUGAUUAAUGCCAGGGAACCAAGUUAAAGUUAUUUAGUUCGUGCUCUAAUCAACUUCUGGUUCGCUUGCUUAACGAGGCACAAAAACUUGGACAAAGAACAACAAUUAGUGAAGAAAAACAUUAUAUUAAUAUUCAAAAGGAAUUACAAAGGAGGGCCUCUGGCCAUUACACAAAGUAC